CACGUAGGCGGACUGUUUAGUCAGAGGUGAAAUCCCGGGGCUCAACCUCGGAAUUGCCUUUGAUACUGGCAGUCUUGAGUCCGAGAGAGGUGAGUGGAAUUCCGAGUGUAGAGGUGAAAUUCGUAGAUAUUCGGAGGAACACCAGUGGCGAAGGCGGCUCACUGGCUCGGUACUGACGCUGAGGUGCGAAAGCGUGGGGAGCAAACA
Molecule: ribosomal RNA, 207 nt
Filed under: uncultured bacterium
Lineage: Bacteria
Description: partial 16S ribosomal RNA
Rfam family: Bacterial small subunit ribosomal RNA
Source: RNAcentral